GGCCUAACACAUGCAAGUCGAACGCCGUAGCAAUACGGAGUGGCAGACGGGUGAGUAACACGUGGGAACAUACCCUUUGGUUCGGAAUAACUCAGGGAAACUUGGGCUAAUACCGGAUACGCCCUACGGGGGAAAGAUUUAUUGCCGAAGGAUUGGCCCGCGUCUGAUUAGCUAGUUGGUGAGGUAAUGGCUCACCAAGGCGACGAUCAGUAGCUGGUCUGAGAGGAUGAUCAGCCACAUUGGGACUGAGACACGGCCCAAACUCCUACGGGAGGCAGCAGUGGGGAAUAUUGGACAAUGGGCGCAAGCCUGAUCCAGCCAUGCCGCGUGAGUGAUGAAGGCCUUAGGGUUGUAAAGCUCUUUUACCUGGGAAGAUAAUGACGGUACCAGGAGAAUAAGCCCCGGCUAACUUCGUGCCAGCAGCCGCGGUAAUACGAAGGGGGCUAGCGUUGUUCGGAUUUACUGGGCGUAAAGCGCACGUAGGCGGAUCUUUAAGUCAGGGGUGAAAUCCCAAGGCUCAACCUUGGAACUGCCUUUGAUACUGGGGAUCUCGAGUCCGGGAGAGGUGAGUGGAACUGCGAGUGUAGAGGUGAAAUUCGUAGAUAUUCGCAAGAACACCAGUGGCGAAGGCGGCUCACUGGCCCGGUACUGACGCUGAGGUGCGRAA
This 667-nucleotide ribosomal RNA is filed under the name Beijerinckia sp. ICBR-170. Its description in RNAcentral is "bacterial SSU rRNA". It matches the Rfam family "Bacterial small subunit ribosomal RNA", at positions 45 to 758 of the family's 1533-position model. The record is from RNAcentral. Lineage: Bacteria; Pseudomonadati; Pseudomonadota; Alphaproteobacteria; Hyphomicrobiales; Beijerinckiaceae. RNAcentral also lists the same sequence under 2 other names.